Non-coding RNA from Poecilia reticulata (guppy), 661 nucleotides. The record is from RefSeq and is a predicted model, not a curated record. Lineage: Eukaryota; Metazoa; Chordata; Actinopteri; Cyprinodontiformes; Poeciliidae.
GACCGUAAUCACGCGUGAUUUAAAAUGCGAAACGUAAACACCGCAAUUGCAAAAUUGUGUUUUUGUUGCGCACGUUUGCUAUGGAAGCGCAGGUAGCGGAGAGGAGGACGUUUAAUCAAAUAUGACUGAGCAAUCUCCUUCAAAUGGAUGCCAACUUGUUGGGCGCUUCGUCUUACUCAGAAUGAGGUUCUAAUCAAAGCCCUCGUCUUUGCAUGCUUGCCAGAAACGGAGCGCUCCAAACACUCAAAUGAAUGCAGCGCAGCUGGUGUAAACUGGCAUUUCCAAAAUGUCUUCUCAGUGAUCCGAGAAAAUAAAAAUACAACAUCGAGCGAAAUAUCCUACCCACGCCGUUUCAUCUAACAUGGAGGGGUAAACUUUCUGUCUCUUUAAGACAAGUGGAAGCCUGUUGAGGGGAAAAGAAGGUGAGAGGAAAGAUGAGCCUCUAAAUGCUUGUGAGGAGUUGGAAGCUUUUGUGAAUCACGCAGACUCAAAGCUUGGUCACUCAUUGGGAAAAUUGGUGUAAAACACUCUCAUCAUUACAUGAAGUCGAGGUGUUAUCUCCAGCAAUUGUAGACAGCGGCUCAUCAUGAAUACACAUGGCAGAAAAGCUCUGGGGUCUUGUAAAACAUGUAAAAAGAAAUGUUUUUUUUAAUUCCUCAAA